RNAcentral lists this ribosomal RNA (305 nucleotides) under uncultured bacterium. RNAcentral's name for it is "partial 16S ribosomal RNA". It matches the Rfam family "Bacterial small subunit ribosomal RNA", at positions 508 to 809 of the family's 1533-position model. The record is from RNAcentral.
ACAGCAGCCGCCGCGGUAAUACGUAGGGGGCAAGCGUUAUCCGGAAUUACUGGGUGUAAAGGGAGCGUAGACGGUUAAACAAGUCUGAAGUGAAAUGCCGGGGCUCAACCCCGGAGCUGCUCUGGGAACUGUAGAACUGGAGUGCCGGAGGGGUAAGCGGAAUUCCCAGUGUAGCGGUGAAAUGCGUAGAUAUUGGGAGGAACACCGGCGGCGAAGGCGGCUUACUGGACGACAACUGACGUUGAGGCUCGAAGGCGUGGGUAGCAAACAGGAUUAGAUACCCCAGUAGUCCCUGUCUCUUAUAA